This 227-nucleotide long non-coding RNA is filed under the name Capsella grandiflora. RNAcentral describes it as "long non-coding RNA (CGRA_LNC001442)". The record is from RNAcentral. Lineage: Eukaryota; Viridiplantae; Streptophyta; Magnoliopsida; Brassicales; Brassicaceae.
AAAAAAAAAAAAAAAAAAAAAAAAAAAAAAAAAAAGAGGAUGAGGAAGAUGAAGGAACAUAGAGCAAAUCGCCAAGAUCCAACCAUCCAAACAAUGGCGGCUUAUAGAAUUGAUGAAGACGUUACUCCACGUACCAUUCUCUCUCUCUCAACGUGUCCCCUUUCAUAUCUCCUUCUUCCAUGCGACUCCGAUCAUUCUUCUUCUCUAUCUUCUCUCUUUCACGUUCC